This is a long non-coding RNA of Apodemus sylvaticus (European woodmouse), 2023 nucleotides long. RefSeq lists it as uncharacterized. The transcript has 4 exons. The record is from RefSeq and is a predicted model, not a curated record. Lineage: Eukaryota; Metazoa; Chordata; Mammalia; Rodentia; Muridae.
GUCUGUAUUGACAAGAAAAUGAAGCAAACUCGUGUUGGCAGCAGGCUGCCUCUGGAUGGAGCUACUGGAGUCCUUCCUUGAGAGUGAAGCUGUUGCAGCUGUGAAGUGGAAGGCUGAGAGCAGGAAAUAGCCAGUAGGUUCAGGUCCAGAUGGGAGAACGUGUGGACAGGCCUGUCGUGGAGCCUGUGCCCAAAUGGAGAGCAGCAAAGAGAAUGACUCCCCACGGCCAUCUUUGCUGUCUGCCGUUCUAAAUACUUAUCCUGAUACCCACAGUGUCCUCUGAUGAAUGCACAGCAGUGAAAUCAUCUGAUAACAAACUUCUCAGAACCUCACCUCCUACAUAACUGAAGCACAACUCUGGUUUAAAAGCAAAACGAAGCUAGUUUGUCCAGAUCAAUAGUACAGGAUAUAGCAUUUCCUUUCUGCUAACUGCUGUUGGUGAACAGAAGCAAUACCUAAGAACAUGCUGCAAGAAGGGAGCUGUGUAAGAAUUCUGAGUGCUUGUGAGAAAACUCCAAGAAAACAAGACAAAGAGUCUUUUGACCUUCAGUUUCUUCAAAAAACAGAACUGCUCUUGACAUGUGUUUCUGUGCCCCUCCCUGGUGUAGUGGAUAGCUGUGAGUUUAUUUCAGAUUAUUCAUCAUAACUGGCUAUUGUUAUUUGUUUGUGCCUCUAUAGAAAAAUGUCUUUUUGCCAAGUGUGGCUUGUACUCGUGACUGUACACUCUACUGAAGCAACUCUUCUUAUCUCCCACAGUAUACAUGAUCCGAGGCUCUGAAGACAGGUGGCUGAUGCAUGAGACGUUAGUCUAUCUCAUGGAUUGGCCCCAUCCUCUCAGGUCCCAGUGCCUCUACAGAAGCAAACAGGGUUGGACUGGAAAGAUUCAGUGACAAAGUGUAGAAAUCACAUGUAUGUAGAAAUGUGACAUAGAUUUCAUACUUUGAUCUUAACGGGAAAUGAAAAUAUGCUAAACCCUCAAAUCUUCAUUAUCCUGAGAGACAAUUCAAAGGAGCAAAUUACAACCAACCAACAAAUGUGGGGCAGACAACAGAAGGCAUGGACAGAGAAGCUUUACUGUGUUUGUUUGAAAAAGGAAAAAAAUUGAUAACCAGGGAAGAGAAUAAAAGGGGUAAAAUAUGGCAGUACACAGCCCAAUACACUGAGCAGUAUUUACAAACUUUAAUAAGGAAGGAUGCUGUGAUGGUCAGUGCCCACGGGACAGGAUCUGGAGUCAUGUAGGAGACAGGCCUCCAAGUAUACCUUAGGGCAUUUUCUUUAAUGGGUUAUCUGUUUUUAAGAGAACAGUACCUUUAAAGGUAGGUGGCACCAUUUUCUGGGCUUGGGCCUGGACUUCAGAAAAAGUAUGAGCUGAGUGAGAGCAUGCAUUGUUCACGUCUCUCCCUGACUGCAGCUCAAGUAGGCUCAGCGGCUUCAAGGCCUGCUGCCUUAAAUUCCAUCAUGGGUCUAAACCUUCAACUGUGAGAGAACAUGUACACUCCCUUCCUUAAGGUGGUUUUUACAGCAAAAGGAAAGCAACAGGAACGCAACCAGGACAGAUGCACAGGAAUAUACAGAACAGAGACUCAAUAUAAAGUCAGAAAAGAAAGGAUGAGGAUCACAACAGAAAGGAAUGAGAAUGCAGCAGCUCAGAGAAAAGAGAAAGCCACGAAGUCUGCAAACUUGGGGACAGGAUUGGUUCACAGUAACAACAAUUCUAGGACUGGAGAGGCUGAGGCAUGAGGGUCAUAAGUUCCAGCCGGGUUAUAUAGUUGUGUCUUAAUAAAACCUCAAUUUUCUAAAUUAGAUGAUUAGUCAUCUAAGCAAAGCAUUUGCCUGUCAAAUGCUUGCUUCCAAUUCUAAUUCAUUUGUUCUAAAAAACUAAGUUGCAAGUUCACUUAAAUUAGAUUUCCCAAGCGUUUUGGGUUUGCUGUAGAGGUACAGAAGGAAGGGGUCUUUAUGACAUUGAGAUGGGAUAAAAACAUUCAUUAAGGCUAAUGUGGUAAGCAGACUAAGAACCAUUACC